This 494-nucleotide ribosomal RNA is filed under the name uncultured bacterium. Its description in RNAcentral is "partial 16S ribosomal RNA". It matches the Rfam family "Bacterial small subunit ribosomal RNA", at positions 28 to 507 of the family's 1533-position model. The record is from RNAcentral.
GACGAACGCUGGCGGCGCGCUUAACACAUGCAAGUCGAACGGAAAGGCCUGCUUUCCCUUGUGGCUUGGGGGUACUCGAGUGGCGAACGGGUGAGUAACACGUGAGUGAUCUGCCCCCAACUUGGGUAUAAGCCUGGGAAACUGGGUCUAAUUCCCGAUAGGACUGCAGGGUGGUGCCUGUGGUGGAAAACGAUUUUCUAGUGGUUGGGGAUGAGCUCGCGGCCUAUCAGCUUGUUGGUGGGGUAAUGGCCUACCAAGGCGGCGACGGGUAGCCGGCCUGAGAGGGUAGACGGCCACAUUGGGGCUGAGAUGCCGCCCAGACUCCUACGGGAGGCAGCAGUGGGGACUAUUGCACAAUGGGCGGAAGCCUGAUGCAGCGACGCCGCGUGGGGGAUGACGGCCUUCGGGUUGUAAACUCCUUUCGACCGCGAGGAAGCCACCUGGUUGGAAGGGUGGUGACGGUAGUGGUAGAAGAAGCACCGGCUAACUACGUG